Zalophus californianus (California sea lion) is the source of this 1145-nucleotide long non-coding RNA. RefSeq lists it as uncharacterized. The transcript has 4 exons. NCBI's taxonomy places the organism in Eukaryota, Metazoa, Chordata, Mammalia, Carnivora, Otariidae. The record is from RefSeq and is a predicted model, not a curated record.
ACUUCCUCCCCGGUUGCCCUGGAGCCCUUUGGAAAGCUAAGAAUACGGGGAGUCUCUGUUCCUUUUCUCUUCCAAAUUCUUGCUUCUGCUGCAGCACAGUCUGACCGAGCAGUUUCGAGGCUCUGCCGCCAGCGGCUUGUUGGUGCUGUGGAAGCCCCCAGGUAGCUGAGAAGUUGAUGGAAUCUUCUUACGGUCCAACUUUCACUAUUGCUUGUGUUAGAGUGUGAGGUAAAGGUGUACGUUGGGAUGGAGGUGAGGGCAGGCGGUGCGUUUUGUUCAGCGUGUAUGCCAAGUCUAGAUCGGAACUUGCCAUGAUUAUGCUGCAUGAAGUCAGAGCUAAAGAAGCCUGUGCCCCUGUGAGAAAGAGCUGUGGCUGCAUCUCAAUACACAUAAAGGAAAAUGCGAGUCCCAAAGAACAGAGGGUCUCAGGAAGCAGCAGGAAAAGCUCACCCGCUGUGUCUUCCUGAGCCCCGACUGGCCCCCUGAGGCUCCGGGCCCACAGAGGGAAAAAGAGGGAGCAGAGAAGGUGACUGAGCAAGACCGCGCCAUACAACAAAUCAAGGUGCAUCAGCACGAUGGAAAACCCGGCCACAGUGUUCAAAUGUCCAAACUUAUUUCUCCUUCCAGGGACCUAAAGGAAAGGCUGUCUGCCCUUGGGACAUGGAUCCCCUCUUGUUAUGGUUGGUAAGGCAAGGUCAGGGUCAGCGGACGGGCUGCUGAGGUCGGGUCUCAGGCCCUGCUUUGGAGCUUCCAGGGCGGUGUCUGCAGUAUGUUUCCACGGACGCUCGGCAGAGCCCCCAAGCUGCCCCUUGUCCUCCCCAUCUCUGCCCGCGGACACCCUGCCCAGACCUUAGGAGCCCUCUGCAAAUGCCACCAUUUCCAGAGAGACUUAGAACCAAGUUCCCCUCCCUCCCUCGUCCCUCUUGUUAUAAUCUCAUUUCUUACCCGCUUCCACCCGGCCUUAUGGCUGCUUACACACCGGCCUUCGUUCCAGAGAUACUCAUCGAGCUCCGAUUAUGUAGCAGGCCCAGAGCGAGUCACCAGCAAUGAGAAAGAUACAAUCCUAGUUCUUACAUAAAGAGCUCACACGCUCACAGUCAAACAGAGACAGACGAGUCAACACAUAAUUCAAACACAGCACGGAG